UACGGAGGGUGCAAGCGUUAUCCGGAUUCACUGGGUUUAAAGGGUGCGUAGGAGGGCAGGUAAGUCAGUGGUGAAAUCUCCAAGCUUAACUUGGAAACUGCCGUUGAUACUAUCUGUCUUGAAUAUUGUGGAGGUGAGCGGAAUACGUCAUGUAGCGGUGAAAUGCUUAGAUAUGACAUAGAACACCAAUUGCGAAGGCAGCUCGCUACACAUAUAUUGACUCUGAGGCACGAAAGCGUGGGGAUCAAACAGG
Molecule: ribosomal RNA, 253 nt
Filed under: uncultured bacterium
Lineage: Bacteria
Description: partial 16S ribosomal RNA
Rfam family: Bacterial small subunit ribosomal RNA
Source: RNAcentral